CCGUUUGCCUAUUAUGGACAAGGGUUGCUUCUGCCUUCUAGAUAAUGUAAAUAACGUUGUUAACAAUGUAGGUUUACAAAUAUCUUCUCUGGUUCCUCUGGACCCGCUGGCAGGUGGGAAUGAAGUUUCUGUAUCUUCAGUGCUGACUUUGAUACUGAGUCAUCAAAUGACCUUCACCAGGUGAGGAAGUCACUAGUCUCUGACCAGCUUUCCUGCUUGGAGCAGCUGUUCUCCUCUGACAGUGAGCAUAAGUUGCUGGCCACAGUGUCUUCAUUCGGCCUCUGUCUCAUUCUCUUGGUGCCAGUUUCUUCACCUUACAAAUGGGAACAAUGUAUUCCUCUCCUCUCUCUCAGAGAGCUGCUGUGCCAGACAAAGGCGUUGAGGACCAGCUGUAGGGAAGGAAAUUGAAGGGCUGGAGAACUAUGGAAUGAGAAGAUACAAGGAAGGAACCAAGAACCCAGUGAGAGGUGACUAGUAUGACGGUGGGUGUCAUUUCUCUCUCCCCAUUCCCUCCCAGCCACCUUUCCCUCCCACUCGUCCCUCCUGGCUCCUUGUUUGUGAUUCCUCGCUGCCUUGUUUAACUAUCAGAACCCGUGCCAAAACCCAUACUUAGCUGCUGAAAGCUCCUUGCCGGGUUGCCUCUGAAGUUAAUGGCAGAGUCUUUGAAAAUGACCUUAGAAGCAAAUCAUAAGCAACCGAGGACAUGAAACUACCUCAAGUCCGUCUGUUGGAGUGCGAGCCACCUCCAAGCUUCCAUUCCCAUGUAAAACAGAAGAUAUGAUUUAUAAUUUAUAGCGCAUCGGUACAGCCCUGAUUGAAGCAAACCACUUUGAUGAAGAGUUGGUUUCAUGCUAGUGUCGUGGAACACCACUCCAAAUCAGAAAAUAUUUAGAACUCCAACUCCUCUGCUCUGACUUUGAAGUAAAGAGAUUUGUAUUUUAUGUGCUUCUCUGAACGAAAAAAAAAUAAAGAAAAAUGUGUGUACACUCCAACAUGCAUGUGGUAGGAAUAUGAAAACAUUUACAUGUGUAUCAGCACCAAAAUGUAAUUACUGCAUUAGGCACUGAAAAUAUUUAUAGACUCAUAUCUCAUGUGGAAGACCUGGUUCCAAUAAUUCUCAGAAAAUUGUGAAAUUCAGACUUUGUUUUCUUGGGACUAACUUAAUUUAUUUGAAAUUGACAACACAUGAAGGACAAAAAUCAAAGCCCGUCAACUUUCCACCACCCCAGCUAAUGACCUAUUAAAGUUGUGAGUAUA
Non-coding RNA from Cricetulus griseus (Chinese hamster), 1257 nucleotides. The record is from RefSeq and is a predicted model, not a curated record. Lineage: Eukaryota; Metazoa; Chordata; Mammalia; Rodentia; Cricetidae.